Molecule: ribosomal RNA, 170 nt
Filed under: Helcogramma hudsoni
Lineage: Eukaryota; Metazoa; Chordata; Actinopteri; Blenniiformes; Tripterygiidae
Description: partial 12S rRNA
Source: RNAcentral
CACCGCGGUUAUACGAGAGACCCAAGUUGACAAGUCUUCGGCGUAAAGAGUGGUUAAACUAAUUACAAACUAAAGCCGAAAUUCCCUCAGAACUGUUAUACGUACCCGAGGGUAAGAAGCCCCCUUACGAAAGUAGCUUUAAUAUUUUUGACCCCACGAAAGCUGUGAAA